UACGUAGGUGGCAAGCGUUGUCCGGAAUUAUUGGGCGUAAAGCGCGCGCAGGCGGUCUCUUAAGUCUGAUGUGAAAGCCCCCGGCUCAACCGGGGAGGGUCAUUGGAAACUGGGAGACUUGAGUGCAGAAGAGAAGAGUGGAAUUCCACGUGUAGAGGUGAAAUGCGUAGAGAUGUGGAGGAACACCAGUGGCGAAGGCGACUCUUUGGUCUGUAACUGACGCUGAGGCGCGAAAGCGUGGGGAGCAAACAGG
Molecule: ribosomal RNA, 253 nt
Filed under: uncultured bacterium
Lineage: Bacteria
Description: partial 16S ribosomal RNA
Rfam family: Bacterial small subunit ribosomal RNA
Source: RNAcentral